This 464-nucleotide ribosomal RNA is filed under the name uncultured bacterium. Its description in RNAcentral is "bacterial SSU rRNA". It matches the Rfam family "Bacterial small subunit ribosomal RNA", at positions 335 to 792 of the family's 1533-position model. The record is from RNAcentral.
ACUCCUACGGAGGCAGCAGUGGGGAAUAUCGGACAAUGGGCGCAAGCCUGAUCCAGCAAUGCCGCGUGUGUGAAGAAGGCCUUCGGGUUGUAAAGCACUUUUAUCAGGAGCGAAAUCUGCAUGCUUAAUACGUGUGCAGUCUGACGGUACCUGAGGAAUAAGCACCGGCUAACUUCGUGCCAGCAGCCGCGGUAAUACGAAGGUUGCAAGCGUUAAUCGGAAUUACUGGGCGUAAAGGGUGCGUAGGCGGUUAGUUAAGUCUGUUGUGAAAUCCCCGGGCUCAACCUGGGAAUGGCAAUGGAUACUGGCUAGCUAGAGUGUGUCAGAGGAUGGUGGAAUUCCCGGUGUAGCGGUGAAAUGCGUAGAGAUCGGGAGGAACAUCAGUGGCGAAGGCGGCCAUCUGGGACAACACUGACGCUGAAGCACGAAAGCGUGGGGAGCAAACAGGAUUAGAUACCCUGGUA